This 496-nucleotide ribosomal RNA is filed under the name uncultured bacterium. RNAcentral's name for it is "partial 16S ribosomal RNA". It matches the Rfam family "Bacterial small subunit ribosomal RNA", at positions 28 to 507 of the family's 1533-position model. The record is from RNAcentral.
GAUGAACGCUGGCGGCGUGCCUAAUACAUGCGAGUCGAGCGAACAGACGAGGAGCUUGCUCCUCUGACGUUAGCGGCGGACGGGUGAGUAACACGUGGAUAACCUACCUAUAAGACUGGGAUAACUUCGGGAAACCGGAGCUAUACCGGAUAAUAUAUUGAACCGCAUGGUUCAAUAGUGAAAGACGGUUUUGCUGUCACUUAUAGAUGGAUCCGCGCCGCAUUAGCUAGUUGGUAAGGUAACGGCUUACCAAGGCAACGAUGCGUAGCCGACCUGAGAGGGUGAUCGGCCACACUGGAACUGAGACACGGUCCAGACUCCUACGGGAGGCAGCAGUAGGGAAUCUUCCGCAAUGGGCGAAAGCUUGACGGAGCAACGCCGCGUGAGUGAUGAAGGUCUUCGGAUCGUAAAACUCUGUUAUUAGGGAAGAACAAAUGUGUAAGUAACUAUGCACGUCUUGACGGUACCUAAUCAGAAAGCCACGGCUAACUACGUG